Molecule: ribosomal RNA, 440 nt
Filed under: uncultured bacterium
Lineage: Bacteria
Description: bacterial SSU rRNA
Rfam family: Bacterial small subunit ribosomal RNA
Source: RNAcentral
CCUACGGGUGGCUGCAGUCGAGAAUCUUCGGCAAUGGGCGCAAGCCUGACCGAGCGACGCCGCGUGUGCGAUGAAGGCCUUCGGGUUGUAAAGCACUGUCGAGGGGGAUCAAAGCGCAAGCUUGAGAGAUCCCUGGAGGAAGCACGGGCUAAGUUCGUGCCAGCAGCCGCGGUAAGACGAACCGUGCGAACGUUGUUCGGAAUCACUGGGCUUAAAGGGCGCGUAGGCGGUCGAUCAAGUCCGGGGUGAAAUCCUGCAGCUUAACUGUAGAAGUGCCUUGGAUACUGAUUGGCUCGAGGGAGGUAGGGGUCUGUGGAACUUCUGGUGGAGCGGUGAAAUGCGUUGAUAUCAGAAGGAACGCCGGUGGCGAAAGCGGCAGACUGGACCUCUUCUAACGCUGAGGCGCGAAAGCUAGGGGAGCAAACGGGAUUAGAUACCCC